RNAcentral lists this ribosomal RNA (523 nucleotides) under Bradyrhizobium sp. ERR 421. RNAcentral describes it as "bacterial SSU rRNA". It matches the Rfam family "Bacterial small subunit ribosomal RNA", at positions 105 to 663 of the family's 1533-position model. Lineage: Bacteria; Pseudomonadati; Pseudomonadota; Alphaproteobacteria; Hyphomicrobiales; Nitrobacteraceae. The record is from RNAcentral.
GGUGAGUAACGCGUGGGAACGUACCUUUUGGUUCGGAACAACACAGGGAAACUUGUGCUAAUACCGGAUAAGCCCUUACGGGGAAAGAUUUAUCGCCGAAAGAUCGGCCCGCGUCUGAUUAGCUAGUUGGUGAGGUAAUGGCUCACCAAGGCGACGAUCAGUAGCUGGUCUGAGAGGAUGAUCAGCCACAUUGGGACUGAGACACGGCCCAAACUCCUACGGGAGGCAGCAGUGGGGAAUAUUGGACAAUGGGGGCAACCCUGAUCCAGCCAUGCCGCGUGAGUGAUGAAGGCCCUAGGGUUGUAAAGCUCUUUUGUGCGGGAAGAUAAUGACGGUACCGCAAGAAUAAGCCCCGGCUAACUUCGUGCCAGCAGCCGCGGUAAUACGAAGGGGGCUAGCGUUGCUCGGAAUCACUGGGCGUAAAGGGUGCGUAGGCGGGUCUUUAAGUCAGGGGUGAAAUCCUGGAGCUCAACUCCAGAACUGCCUUUGAUACUGAAGAUCUUGAGUUCCGGAGAGGUGAGUG